AUGAACCACAAAUGAUUUUUACUUGUUUUUGCAUUCAGGCAUCAAGCAAAUAGAAACAACCCAAAUUGAGAGCAAAACAGGAAGAAGCAGCUGGCAAAAAUGUGGAAAGUUUCGUAAUUCUCAAAAAGGAACUGGGUGUUCAGGUGUGGAGGAGAAUGAUGAGAGCGUUGAAACGGAGACAAUGACCAACAAAUUACAGAUGUGCAAUGAUACCUCUGCCAGUAGAGUUUUGCCUGAACAAAGAAAAAAAUAAGUCAUUCAAACAUAAAAAUGACAAAAAUUUUUCCAUAAGGGCCAAAACUUCAGAGGAAUAAUUCCAAGUCACAAUCCUCAAAGCAAA
Molecule: long non-coding RNA, 340 nt
Organism: Myotis myotis
Lineage: Eukaryota; Metazoa; Chordata; Mammalia; Chiroptera; Vespertilionidae
Exons: 3
Source: RefSeq, a predicted model, not a curated record